GAUGAACGCUGGCGGCGUGCUUAACACAUGCAAGUCAAACGAGGUCCAACCUUCGGGUGAAGACCUAGUGGCGAACGGGUGAGUAACACGUGGGCAAUCUGCCCUCCACUCUGGGAUAACCCUCGGAAACGAGAGCUAAUACCGGAUACUUCGAGAUGGUCGCAUGGCCGACUCGAGAAAGCUCCGGCGGUGGAGGAUGAGCCCGCGGCCCAUUAGCUUGUUGGCGGGGUAACGGCCCACCAAGGCAACGAUGGGUAGCCGAGCUGAGAGGCUGAUCGGCCACACUGGGACUGAGACACGGCCCAGACUCCUACGGGAGGCAGCAGUGGGGAAUCUUGCGCAAUGGGCGAAAGCCUGACGCAGCAACGCCGCGUGCGGGAUGAAGGCUCUCGGGUCGUAAACCGCUUUCAGUAGGGACGAAACUGACUGUACCUACAGAAGAAGCCCCGGCUAAAUACGUGCCAGCAGCCGCGGUAAUACGUAUGGGGCUAGCGUUAUCCGGAUUCAUUGGGCGUAAAGAGCGCGUAGGCGGCUUGUUAAGUCAGAUGUGAAAACCGGGGGCUCAACCCGCGGCCUGCAUCUGAAACUGGCAGGCUUGAGUCUGGUAGAGGAAAGUGGAAUUCCCAGUGUAGCGGUGAAAUGCGCAGAUAUUGGGAGGAACACCAGUGGCGAAGGCGGCUUUCUGGGCCACGACUGACGCUGAGGCGCGAAAGCUAGGGGAGCAAACAGGAUUAGAUACCCUGGUAGUCCUAGCCGUAAACGAUGGGCACUAGGUGUGGGGGGUCAUCAACUCCCUCCGUGCCGCAGCUAACGCACUAAGUGCCCCGCCUGGGGAGUACGACCGCAAGGUUAA
Molecule: ribosomal RNA, 853 nt
Filed under: uncultured Actinomycetes bacterium
Lineage: Bacteria; Bacillati; Actinomycetota; Actinomycetes
Description: bacterial SSU rRNA
Rfam family: Bacterial small subunit ribosomal RNA
Source: RNAcentral